CCUCCUGCUCGCUCCAGUAUGUAAAUACGUAAUAGAAGCCAAAUAUGGAGCAGCUCAAGGAUCCGACUUCGGGGGGGGGGGGGGGGGAGGGCAGGGAAGUCAGCUGAUUGUGAUUCCCAAGUGCCCUCGGUGGCCCCGUCGCGCGUCUGGGAGGACUCACUGCCCCCUCGCAGUUAACCCUCCAGCCCGCGUCUCCCCCCGCGGAACCCAACGCUGGGCCCGCGCCUCCUUCCUUGGCUUGCAACUCGGGAACGUUGUCAGGCUUCCCCAGCUUGCACCGGCGGCCUUCCCCUUUCCCGCCGGCACAAGCUGGGGGCUCCAGACCCUCCUUCCUGAUUCUGCAGACCUAGCGAUCCGCAGCGGGGAAUCGAACCUGUCAGCUGCAGCCCGGGUAGCCAGCCUGCUCACCCCUCUCGCACCCAACCCGGGAGUCAUUCCUUUCAUCGGAAGUGAGGCUUUUGGGAAUCCAAUGCGACGGAACCUCCGUUGGUACCCGUGGUUAAAGUCAAACGUGAAGUCCACACCUGUGUCCCCCCCCCCCCCUACACCACCGCCAGGCGGAAGGGCGGCAUCCGAGGAGGAGAGUAGCUUCUGGUUUUUUUGCUGCAGGUGAUUCUCCAAGGCCGAAACAGGGCGGGAUCCAGAAGCCGCUGUGUUCUGUUCCCCAGCCUCAGAGCUGAUUGGAGGUAACCGGCUCCGGGAGGUAGGAGCUGCUGAGGAAAGUCCGUGGUCAAUGCCAGUUUGCCUGUAAACACAACAACAUACAACUGAACGAUGGAGUACAGAGAAGAGAAGGGGACAGUCUGGGCUACUGAUUGCAGCUGCUUCCCAAACCAAUGCUCAUGACAGCGUGCUGCGAAGUAUGAAGACAGGGCAGCCAGCGCCGCUCACACUGACACUGAGUGUCACUCACUGUAAGCAUUUAGCAGUGACUAUCAACCUGCACCUACCUACUGAACGCACAGCUGUGCUGGGAAGUGUGCAAAAUAUAGGUGUUCAGGACAGCUCCUCCCCGGGGGAUCAAGCAAAUAAUAAGUCUCUGCCUUAUCAGUGGAGGCUAUGACACUUGGUCCAGGAAGUGGACUCCCGAGCCAUGCUUCCUAGUGCCUUGAUCUUUGGUUUCCGGACAAUAGGAAACACACAGCACACAGACUGCACCCUCUUUGGAGAACACAUUGAAGAAAUGGACAUUUCUGUUGCUACAUCGGUGAGGAACAGAAGGGAAAAGACUGGUAAUCCAAUAGCAAAUUCUGGAGAAAAAGAAUUCACAGGUCAUUGUCCCUGAAUACUUACGGUGCUUUAUCUGCCAAAUACGUGGGUCGCUGCUGAAGCGGCUUGGCUUGAAUU
Molecule: long non-coding RNA, 1347 nt
Organism: Psammomys obesus (fat sand rat)
Lineage: Eukaryota; Metazoa; Chordata; Mammalia; Rodentia; Muridae
Exons: 6
Source: RefSeq, a predicted model, not a curated record